GGACUACCCGGGUAUCUAAUCCCGUUUGCUCCCCUAGCUUUCGCGCCUCAGCGUCAGAAGAGGUCCAGUGCGUCGCUUUCGCCUCCGGCGUUCCUUCCAAUAUCAACGCAUUUCACCGCUCCACUGGAAGUUCCACACACCCCUACCUCCCUCCAGACAGACAGUAUCAAAGGCACUUCUACAGUUAAGCUGCAGGAUUUCACCCCUGACUUGUCCGACCGCCUACGCGCCCUUUAAGCCCAGUGAUUCCGAACAACGUUAGGACAGUUCGUCUUACCGCGGCUGCUGGCAC
Molecule: ribosomal RNA, 292 nt
Filed under: uncultured Planctomycetota bacterium
Lineage: Bacteria; Pseudomonadati; Planctomycetota
Description: uncultured planctomycete partial 16S ribosomal RNA
Source: RNAcentral